This 667-nucleotide ribosomal RNA is filed under the name uncultured bacterium. RNAcentral describes it as "bacterial SSU rRNA". It matches the Rfam family "Bacterial small subunit ribosomal RNA", at positions 141 to 808 of the family's 1533-position model. The record is from RNAcentral.
GGACAACCCGCCGAAAGGCGGGCUAAACCCGCGUACAUGCCACCGGGGCAUCCCGGAGGCAGGAAAGGCUUCGCCGGACAGGGAUGGGCAUGCGGCGCAUUAGGCAGUAGGCGGGGUAACGGCCCACCUAACCGACGAUGCGUAGGGGUUCUGAGAGGAAGGUCCCCCACACUGGUACUGAGACACGGACCAGACUCCUACGGGAGGCAGCAGUGAGGAAUAUUGGUCAAUGGUCGGGAGACUGAACCAGCCAAGCCGCGUGAGGGAGGAAGGUACAGAGUAUCGUAAACCUCUUUUGUCAGGGAACAAAGACGGGACGCGUCCCCGGAUGAGUGUACCUGAAGAAAAAGCAUCGGCUAACUCCGUGCCAGCAGCCGCGGUAAUACGGAGGAUGCGAGCGUUAUCCGGAUUUAUUGGGUUUAAAGGGUGCGCAGGCGGUCUGUUAAGUCAGCGGUCAAAGCCCGGGGCUCAACCCCGGCCCGCCGUUGAAACUGGCAGUCUCGAGUUGGAGAGAAGUAUGCGGAAUGCGCGGUGUAGCGGUGAAAUGCAUAGAUAUCGCGCAGAACUCCGAUUGCGAAGGCAGCAUGCCGGCUCCACACUGACGCUGAGGCACGAAAGCGUGGGUAUCGAACAGGAUUAGAUACCCUGGUAGUCCACGCAGUAAACG